Long non-coding RNA from Vespa velutina, 656 nucleotides. RefSeq lists it as uncharacterized. The record is from RefSeq and is a predicted model, not a curated record. The transcript has 3 exons. Lineage: Eukaryota; Metazoa; Arthropoda; Insecta; Hymenoptera; Vespidae.
ACUUUGCGUAUUGGAUACAGCAAUUGACACAGAAUUAGUCAAUACACCGUUUGGCAAGUCCAAGCACGUAUUGAUGCGCUUGAGUCUUUGCCAACUCAUAAUCCAGCGGGCAUUAAACAAUAUCGAUCUUUGGAUUCGACGAUGGGUCAAGGUGAUCUUUGAAAAUAAGACAGAAUCAUUUGGAUCGUGUGUAACCAGCCUGAGGUUUUAGACAAUGACAUUUUUAUUAGACAAUGCUUUCGAACAAUCGUAUUACAUUAAUAUGUAAGAUAUGAGUCAAUCGUGUAUCAGACGUCUAUGGUAAACGUUUAGAAGCCGAUGACGUACAGACGUGAAAUAUCGAACGAGAGGAAUAGGAGGAUGCUUUUUUAUGAAAAGCAGAUGUUUCGAAGAUGUUUACUUACUUUCUCUUGCUGAAAGGCGAAACGUUCGUCUGAAAGUAGCAGCGACUUAAAACUUAAUAGAAUAUUGAUAAAAGAAUAACAAAUAGAAAGAAACAAAAAAAAAAAAAAAAGAAAAAAAUAACAAAGUUAUAAUAUUCUAAAUUUAUGAUAGAAAUUAUCUAUACAAUGUUAGACAAAUAGAUUUAAUUAUAUCGAACGAAUACAAUUGUUCGCAACUUCGACAACUUAGAUACUCAACUACUAUCUCUCAUC